GCGGCUCGGGCGGUGGCGGUGGGGGGCGGGGUCUGGGCGGGGCCUGGGCGGGGCCAGGCCUGCACCGGG
Molecule: microRNA precursor, 69 nt
Filed under: Mustela putorius furo (domestic ferret)
Lineage: Eukaryota; Metazoa; Chordata; Mammalia; Carnivora; Mustelidae
Description: miRNA (ENSMPUG00000021449.1)
Source: RNAcentral